CCACAUUUUAAAGAGUAGAGACUAUAUGCCUAAAUGAUCUAUGACUCCUAAUGAGUGAUCAAACCUACAUUAAGGAUAAUUUAUGCAAAUGUUAUUGCUAAAAUUAUCUCUAAAUGCCCCCCAAUUAGAGAGAGUAAAGUAAUAAAAACACAUAAUUUCAUGUUUGCAAUUCUUUGCUCUUUUUGAUAAUUGUAUAAAGGUUGAUUAAGUAAGGAGAAUAACAUAACUUUUUCUAGUUAUUUAAAACAUUAUAAUAGAGCUCCAAGAGUCCUUCGGGAUGACUCAGUUGGUUUGGAGGGUGGUUAUCCACACGGAUAACCAGGGAUCGAUCCCCCCUCAAUGUCUUCUGAGUCGAGCCUGUCACAUAGGGCUUGCCUAGUGCAGAGUUCUCACCCGAAGG
RNAcentral lists this long non-coding RNA (400 nucleotides) under Solanum tuberosum (potato). RNAcentral describes it as "long non-coding RNA (STUB_LNC010555)". The record is from RNAcentral. Lineage: Eukaryota; Viridiplantae; Streptophyta; Magnoliopsida; Solanales; Solanaceae.